Molecule: ribosomal RNA, 407 nt
Filed under: uncultured bacterium
Lineage: Bacteria
Description: bacterial SSU rRNA
Rfam family: Bacterial small subunit ribosomal RNA
Source: RNAcentral
AUCCUGGCUCAGAGCGAACGUUAGCGGCGCGCCUAACACAUGCAAGUCGCACGAGAAAAGGGGGCAACCCCCCGGUACAGUGGCGCACGGGUGAGUAACACGUGGAUUACCUUCCCUGGAGUGGUGGAUAACCUGCCGAAAGGUGGGCUAAUACAGCAUGAGACCACGCAGUUUCGACUGUGAGGUCAAAGCGGGCUUCUGUUUACAUGCUCGCGCUCUGGGAUGGGUCCGCGGCCCAUCAGCUAGUUGGUAGGGUAACGGCCUACCAAGGCAACGACGGGUAGCUGGUCUGAGAGGAUGACCAGCCACACUGGAACUGAGACACGGUCCAGACUCCUACGGGAGGCAGCAGUGGGGAAUCUUGCGCAAUGGGCGAAAGCCUGACGCAGCGACGCCGCGUGGGUGAC